AUGGAGGGCAUUGCGAUAGGUGCCCUCUUCAAUAGCAUCUUGCCCAAGCUUCUGCAAAAGAUUAAAGACUCCAAGCGAGAGAAGAUUGCCAUCAGUCGUAGCAUUGACGAUUUCCAGAGGGAGGCUGAAGUGGUGCAGUCUCAACUUGAAGAUGGCUACUCCCAGUCCGAGUAUGAAGGCAAAGCCAAGCUGAUGGGGAUCGACCGACGACUCAAAGUCUUGUGUCAAGAUACACAUGACUGUAUACACCGGUUCCUGCGCAAGGGAUCUAUGGAGAGCUGCGCCGAGUUAGCGGCCAAGAUCCAAGGAUUCAACGACAACGUCCACAAGCUACACGAUGAAGCCCGAGAGUGCAUCACUUCAUUGAAAGCAUCGGCCAAGCCUUCUUAUCCGUAUGUUCCUCCCGACAAGGUAGUGGACAGGCUUGAACGCCUCGCUGAGCUGCAGGAUCUUGUACAGCUACCCAGCAGCCAAGAUGCGCCCAAGGUGAUCUCCAUCCUUGGCUUUGAUGGCCUAGGCAAAACUAUUCUUGCCAGAAAAUUCUAUGAUAGCACCCAAGCCCACGCGAAAUUCCAUCAUCAGGCCUGGGUUACUGCGGCUGGCACCCAUGAGGAGCUUGUCCACAAAAUACUCAAGCAGAUUGACGUUGAAGGAGACCAUGGCCAUGUCGAGGACCUCUAUGGCCUCUGCGACAGACUGCGGGAUUUCCUAAAGGGCAAAGAGUACCUAAUUGUAAUUGAUGACAUGAAGAGGUGUGAGCUAUGGAACGGCAUAAAACAUGCCUUCGAUGAUGUGAAGGGCAUAGUCCUCGUGACGACGACCAUUCAGGCAGUAGCUAAUACUUGCAGCCAAUGCAUUAACGGUUAUGUGUACAAGCUGUCACCCCUUGAUGAACAUGAGUCUUUAGACCUGUUCGAGACAGCGUGUAGUAAUGGGGAUUCUGGUCAUGCGGCAGAAAUAUUGAAGAAAUGUGGUGGUCUACCACUUGCUAUACUCAACGUGGCCAAUUAUUUGCAGCGUGAGGAUGUGUUGUCAAGCGCUGGAUGUAAAGCUGCUUGUAGGGAUCUUGGUGCUCUUCUGGUGCAAGACAAUGGGUCCAAUUUACCAGGAAUGCAACAAGUGCUUAUGAAUAAAUACACCGGUCUGCCUAGUUGUGCUAUCAGAUCCUGCUUGCUAUAUUUUUGCAUGUACAAGCUAAACAUGGAUGCACUCCCCAAGAGGAAUUCUCUGAUAAGGCGAUGGCAAGCGGAAGGAUUUGUUGAUGGAAAAACCGGAUCUGAAUAUUUGAAGACCCUCAUCAACCGCAACAUCAUUCAGACCAUGGAGGUAAACACAGACGGAACUACAAAGAGAUGCCGACCUCCUGGAAUGAUGGCCGAGUACAUUUCUGAGAUUUCCAAGUCCGAGAAUUUUGCUGCUUUGGUGUCUGAUCUAGAAGAGACGCGAAAGCACCGCAUCCGCCGGCUUUCUUUCGAUGAUGGCAGUGCUGCAGAUGACAGAAGAAUUUCAGGCAUGGAUUUUAGUAUUGUUCUAACUCUGGCAAUUUCAGGAAUUGGAUCUGAAGCUAUUCUGAAUUUUGAGAAGUAUGAGCUACUGGCAGUUUUGGAUCUGAAAGAAUGUACAAGUAUCAAUGAUAAUCAUGUCGAAGCUAUAUGCAUGCUGCUUCUGCUGAAAUAUUUGAGCCUAGGGAAGACUAUAGGGAAGAUACCAAGGGCCAUUGGUAAACUAGAGCUGUUAGAGAUGCUCGAGAUGAGGACGACUGAAACAGUAUUAGUGCAUAGAGAAGUCCUCCAGCUACCCAACUUAAAACACCUCAUUGGAAAGUUUCAUCUCAUCUACAAGCGACCGAUUGAGGUCGAAAUUUCCAAGGAUGAGCGCCUGAAGAAGUUCUUGUCAAAUAAGAGUGUCCUAGAGACGGUUACGGCAUAUGUCAGUCGAACUGCCAAAGGAUUUCCGGAGCCGAUGCUUCAUAUGAUGCAGUUGAGGAAGGUUAAAAUAGUUUGCACUUACGAAGCAGAUGACACGGACAAGGAAGUUCUUACAACAGCGAUCAAGAAAUUCAUUCAUAGAGGCACGAACAAUGUUAUUUGUGGCCACAGCCAUUCCCUAUCAAUAAACUUCUAUAAAUGCACGUCCAUCGUUCAUGAAUGUCUAUUAGGUCCCGGCAGUCUUACCUCGCUCAAAUUGCGUGGUGAUUGGAGACCAUUUCUCGGUGCCAAUCCAGAUUUUACAAACAUAUCUGGUAUUACCAAGAUGUGUCUUUCACACACUUAUCUGAGCGGGAAUAAAGUCCUUGCCGGUCUGACAGGUUUGAUAGCACUGGAAUAUCUGAAACUGGAAGAAGAAGAUAUGGGGUCCCUUGAGAUAGAACCCGAAACUUUCCAAAAGCUGACAGGGUUAUGCCUUGUGGGCGAAAAAAGCCUUUACGGCAUAACAAUCAAGCCUAGAGCUCUGCCCCGACUUGUCUCACUUCACCUGAUCUGUCAAGUUAUAGAUAGGACAGUCCAACUUUUGGAUGGAAGACUUGAACGUCUGCGGGAAAUCGCACUCCACUCCGGAGUUGCACCAGAAAUAAAAGAAGCCUGGAAAAAAGCUGCAAAGCUCCAUCCUAACAGGCCCGAAGUUGUUUUCAUUCACAAGGCAUAA
RNAcentral lists this ribosomal RNA (2646 nucleotides) under Triticum aestivum (bread wheat). RNAcentral describes it as "partial small subunit ribosomal RNA". The record is from RNAcentral. Lineage: Eukaryota; Viridiplantae; Streptophyta; Magnoliopsida; Poales; Poaceae.